UGGGGAAUAUUGCACAAUGGGGGAAACCCUGAUGCAGCGACGCCGCGUGAGCGAAGAAGGCUUUCGAGUCGUAAAGCUCUGUCCUAUGAGAAGAUAAUGACGGUAUCAUAGGAGGAAGCCCUGGCUAAAUACGUGCCAGCAGCCGCGGUAAUACGUAUGGGGCGAGCGUUGUCCGGAAUUAUUGGGCGUAAAGGGUACGUAGGCGGUUUUUUAAGUCAGGUGUCAAAGCGUGGAGCUUAACUCCAUUAAGCACUUGAAACUGAAAGACUUGAGUGAAGGAGAGGGAAGUGGAAUUCCUAGUGUAGCGGUGAAAUGCGUAGAUAUUAGGAGGAAUACCGGUGGCGAAGGCGACUUUCUGGGCUUUUACUGACGCUCAGGUACGAAAGCGUGGGGAGCAAACAGG
Molecule: ribosomal RNA, 403 nt
Filed under: Verrucomicrobiota bacterium
Lineage: Bacteria; Pseudomonadati; Verrucomicrobiota
Description: Verrucomicrobia bacterium partial 16S ribosomal RNA
Rfam family: Bacterial small subunit ribosomal RNA
Source: RNAcentral